Molecule: ribosomal RNA, 400 nt
Filed under: uncultured bacterium
Lineage: Bacteria
Description: bacterial SSU rRNA
Rfam family: Bacterial small subunit ribosomal RNA
Source: RNAcentral
UGGGGAAUAUUGCGCAAUGGGCGAAAGCCUGACGCAGCAACGCCGCGUGCGGGAUGAAGGCCUUCGGGUUGUAAACCGCUUUCAGCAGGGAAGAAGCCGCAAGGUGACGGUACCUGCAGAAGAAGCACCGGCUAACUACGUGCCAGCAGCCGCGGUAAUACGUAGGGUGCAAGCGUUGUCCGGAUUUAUUGGGCGUAAAGAGCUCGUAGGCGGUCUGUUACGUCGGUUGUGAAAACUCGGGGCUUAACCCCGAGCCUGCAUCCGAUACGGGCAGACUUGAGUGUGGUAGGGGAGACUGGAAUUCCUGGUGUAGCGGUGAAAUGCGCAGAUAUCAGGAGGAACACCGAUGGCGAAGGCAGGUCUCUGGGCCACAACUGACGCUGAGGAGCGAAAGCGUGGG